GCAAAACAAAAGAACAGUACUAUAGAAAACGUUUGUUCAAACUACAGCUGUGACAGGAAGGGAAAGAGAAUGAAAUUUAUUCAUGAACAGGAGACUGAAGUAUGUGUAUGCUUAUUCAACUCUCAGAAGAGGAUCUGAAGUGAAAAUGAGAGUUCAUGGAGUGAUAAAAUCGUUGAAGUUGGACAGGCUCUCAAGAGCCGCGGUCCUGAUCGUGGAGAGCUCCCAGCUAGACAGCUCCAGCUCCAAGGUGAACUCCAUCAAGUCCACCCUGAUGGGGGAGGCUCCAACUCAGGCAACCAACAGAUCCGCAGGCAUCCACCAGGGACUGAAGCUUGCUAGCAGUAAGAAGGGGAAAAUGCUAGAGCAGAUAAGAAAACCUCCCAAGCACUAUCACCGGCAAGGAGAGGUAGGACAUUGCUUCAUUGCUCAAGUGUCUGUCCGUGUGCGUGCUAUAUGCAAAGAACUGCUAGUCUCCCUCUCACGUUGCUUCCAAAGCUUUACUGUGUUGCAUUAAUUAACUUUUUCAGGGUUGUCUGGCACGAGAUAAUAUUAAAAUAGGUGUUAGGAACUGUGAGAGUAGUCAUUGGAAGGUCUUAAACCUUUAGUUUUUAUCUGUAGGAUCAAUAACUGAUGAAAGAAAGAGUAAUCCAAUGAAAAUCAUCUUUAGUAUCUCUUUGUCUGCCUAUAGCUGGAAGUAAAGGAAGAAACUUCUUGUUAACUUUCAGACAAUAAAUGAGCAGAAUUUUAAAUAGAUGAGGAAAAU
This 763-nucleotide long non-coding RNA is filed under the name Phasianus colchicus (ring-necked pheasant). RNAcentral's name for it is "lncRNA (ENSPCLG00000016269.1)". Lineage: Eukaryota; Metazoa; Chordata; Aves; Galliformes; Phasianidae. The record is from RNAcentral.